CUUUCCUUUUUGAAUUUUCCUUGGAGUUAAGUAUUUUUGUGUUUUUACUUUUUAAAUAUGUUUCUAUUAGGAUUUCAUGGUCUUUGUAGUUCAGAAUGUUUGUAAUUUUUUAUUCUUUACCAAAUAAGAUCAUUCUGUAUAGGGGAUUGACCCAAUUUAAGGAGGCUCAAGGGUACAAAAUCUUUUAAAAUGUUUUUAUCAUUGAAUAAGCUUCAAAUUAUCUCCCUUUGGUGAAAAAAAUGCCAUUUUUUGCAUUAGAAUUGAAAUAUCUUUUUUAAAUCAUCGGUAACCUUUUUUGUAAAUAUUUUUUUUAAAUAAACUGUACUUAACGAAACAAUUGUAAAAUAUGCAAUUUCUGUAAUUUUGUUCUGUUUCUAUUUCGAUAUUACCUUUUUUUCUCCUAUUAGUUCAACAGAAAAAAAUUACCUUUACAAAAAUGCAUGCUUCUUUCAAAGGCUGAUUGUGAGCUUAAAUGAAUGGUGAUCCCAUACUUUUAGUUUAUUUUUUUCUAUUAUGUAUACAUGUAGGAUAAAGUUUAUUUAUAGAAAAAAAAAGUGAAAUCCUAUAUUUAAACAAAAAAUGAUUUAUACCCUCGAGCUCCUUUAAAACAAAAAAAUUCUUUUGUAUAUGGGAAUGUACAUUGUAUAGUAGUUUUCAUUACACAUUUGAUUGAUUUAACAUGUACAUACUUACUUACAUAAUCCUCUUUGUGCACAUUUGCACAUGAGGCCACCAAAACAUGGACAUAGUUUGAUAUUAUUUUAAAAGAAAUUUAUUGUUUUUUAAACGUUUUUACUGCUUUUUUCAUAUGACAAGUAAGGGAUGUGAUUUGAAAACUUUAGAUGAUCAUGAUGAUACAAUGUGAUAUGUAAGACAGGUAAAGAUUUUCUUUAGAGAACUCAAUUGAAGUGGCCAAUCUCAAUCUUUUAUUCACACAGUGGUCACUUAGGUUUUGUUUGUCACACUAACAGUCAUUACAAUAUAUAGAUAUUCCUCUUUGUUGACAUUUAAACUAAAUGUGUUCUCAAUUUAAUGCAUUUUCCAAUCAUCAGUUUUAAUAAAUAUUGAUAAUACAUGUAUCUGCAAUCUGCAGUAUCAAAAACAAAACACAAUUAAUGCAGUUGUAAAAAUAUCUGAAAUCAAAAGGAGUUAAAUUAGUUACAGAUUAGUUUAAAAACACCAUAGAUUGAUAGGCAGGUCACCAUGGUCACAUGAUAGACAGGUCUCCAUGGUCACAUGAUAGGCAGGUCUCCAUGGUCACAUGAUAGGCAGGUCUCUAAGGUCACGUGAUAGGCAGGUCUCCAUGGUCACAUGAUAGGCAGGUCUCUAUGGUCACAUGAUAGGCAGGUCUCUAUGGUCACAUGAUAGGCAGGUCUCCAUGGUCACAUGAUAGGCAGGUCACCAUGGUCACAAAAUAGUCUCCAUUGUCAAAUAAAUCUUUUGGAUACUAGAUUUUUUGUAGUUUUGAAGACAACUGUCCUCUGCUAAAAAUUGGUUUAAUCUCAGUUUAGAUAAGAUAUGUAUUUGUUUUGAUUUUAAGGUGUUUUUUCCUUUGAAUUUCAUCAAAAAUGUGUUGUUAUGAAAUCCUAAUCUAUCAGUGAUCAUCAGUGGUUGUAGUUUAUUGCUGCCUAUCAUUUUUUUUUUGCAUAUGUCAUUUCAGGGCCAUUUAUUACGUGUUAUGUGGUUUGGAUUUUUCUCAUUGUUGAAGCCAUUCACUUACCUUUUGUUGCUAAACUUCUGAGUGAUUUUUAUAUCAGAAAACAAGUGAUUCUUACAUAAAUCAAUUUGAAAUUCAGGGAGGAAGAAAUGAAAUCUGUGAUAUUUGUUAUAAUUUUUUUAAAAUUUGAUUCUUAGAUAUAUACAUGUAUCUAGUUCCUUUGUAAUCCAUACCAAGUUUUUGAUGGUUUUAAUUAUCAGAUUUCAUAAAACAUAUGUUUAACUCGUGAAUCUUUCAGAAAUUAUUAGGGAUAAGAAACAAUUGUAAACGGUCACUUAAUUUAACCAUUUAGCUAAGUUGAUAGUUUACAGAUUUUUUAGUUGAAAAAUUUGAGUUUUAAUUAGAGAAAUAUAUAUUACAAGACAUAAAUAUGUAUAGAACUAGUAUGUACUAAGUAAUUUAUUACAAUACUUGUGAUUUUUUUUUGGUCAUCAUUCCUUUAAAUUUAGAUUGACCAUAAAAUUAUUGUAAUGGCCAGAAUGAACAGUAAGUGCAAGGUUUGCAACCAAACUCUCACAAUAACUUUAGAUUUUAUAACUUAUAAUGCACAUAGGUACUUGGGGACAGGACACAUUGUUUUGCCCUCCCCCUUUUUCCUUAAGCUAUUUGUUUGUUUUCCAUUAAUUUCAAUUAUUUUUGUGUUUUACAGUACAAUAUGAAUAUAAAUAUAUACUUGAAAUAAUUUGUAUUUGCUAUUUACUAUCAAUUCCAUGUUUACUAUCCACAGCGGUCACUGAUACAUAUUAUAAGGCUAUUUAUAUAACAUAUCAAUGACCGCUGUGGAUAGUAAACUUGGAAUUAAUAGUAAAUAGCAAAUACCUUAUUUUGGAAAAAAAGGGGGAGAGAAAAAAAAAUUGUCCUGUCCCCAAGUACCUAUGAUAAUGUAAAGUGUAUGAUGAAGUGAGAUAAUGGUUAAUGUCUGAAUGCCAAUCUGGUUGGUUAAAUGAUAUUGAUGAAUACCGGUACAUGUAGUUUCUGGAUAUCAUCUAAUUAAAAUUAGUUGGGAUGGGAGGGAAGUUGAAGACUGUUGCCCAAGCAUCAAUGCUUGAUUUUGGGGAAAUUCUUUAUCCUAUCAUUGACAAGUCAUUUGUUGUUUUCAUUGUUAUAAAAUGUUUGAAUUUGUUUGAAGAUUUAUUUUCUAUUAUUUAAAGUUGAUAUUUGGAUAAUAUAUAAACAGAUUUUACGCUAAUUUAUGCACUGUUAUUGUUGAAUUAUGUUUAAUUAAUAAUUAUUUAAAUUAUAGUAUGUUGUUUUAUUUGUCAUAUGUGGCCACAAUAGACAGUUCUUUCUAUUGAAAAUAACUUUGCCUAGAUUUGAAUCAAUACAGCCAUUUUGAGCAAGAUUGCUACAGAGUAGCCAAUGUCCUUCAUUUAUAUUCUUUUUAAGCUCAGUUGGCCUCAAGGUCAUUCUGAGAUAUUGCCAUCACUUAGCGCCCAUCAUUGUCCUCUGUGGUCAUAAACUUUUACAAAAAAAUCUACUCAGAAACUACUGG
Molecule: long non-coding RNA, 3209 nt
Filed under: Mytilus galloprovincialis (Mediterranean mussel)
Lineage: Eukaryota; Metazoa; Mollusca; Bivalvia; Mytilida; Mytilidae
Source: RNAcentral